AGAUCCAGGUGAGGCAGACACAAGGUAUUACAACCCUGUCCCGGGUAAGCAGAUCCAGGUGAGGCAGACACAAGGUAUUACAAUCCUGUCCCAGGUAAGCAGAUCCAGGUGAGGCAGACACAAGGUAUUAGAACCCUGUCCCAGGUAAGCAGAUCCAGGUGAGGCAGACACAAGGUAUUACAACCCUGUCCCAGGUAAGCAGAUCCAGGUGAGGCAGACAGAAGGUAUUACAACCCUGUCCCAGGUAAGCAGAUCCAGGUGAGGCAGACACAAGGUAUUACAACCCUGUCCCAGGUAAGCAGAUCCAGGUGAGGCAGACACAAGGUAUUACAACCCUGUCCCAGGUAAGCAGAUCCAGGUGAGGCAGACACAAGGUAUUAUAACCCUGUCCCAGGUAAGCAGAUCCAGGUGAGGCAGACA
Molecule: long non-coding RNA, 420 nt
Organism: Haliotis rubra (blacklip abalone)
Lineage: Eukaryota; Metazoa; Mollusca; Gastropoda; Lepetellida; Haliotidae
Exons: 3
Source: RefSeq, a predicted model, not a curated record